This 791-nucleotide ribosomal RNA is filed under the name uncultured eukaryote. RNAcentral's name for it is "partial Bacterial large subunit ribosomal RNA". It matches the Rfam family "Bacterial large subunit ribosomal RNA", at positions 241 to 1031 of the family's 2925-position model. The record is from RNAcentral.
AAGUAGCGGCGAGCGAACGCGGAUUAGCCCAAACCAAUGUUGUUACGGCAAUAUUGGGGUUGUAGGACCACGACAUUUGAUGCAUGAUGAACUAGAACAAGUUGGAAAGCUUGGCCAUAGACGGUGAUAGCCCGGUAUAAGUAAAGCGUGCGUAGAUAGUGGUAUCCUGAGUAGUGCGGGGCACGUGAAACCCUGUAUGAAUCAGCCGGGACCAUCCGGUAAGGCUAAAUACUCCUGAGAGACCGAUAGUGAACUAGUACCGUGAGGGAAAGGUGAAAAGAACCCUGAAUAAGGGAGUGAAAUAGAUCCUGAAACCAUACGCUUACAAGCGGUCGGAGCUGACUUGAUCAGUGACGGCGUGCCUUUUGCAUAAUGAGCCUACGAGUUACUGUUGUUAGCAAGGUUAAGUACUUCAGGUACGGAUCCGUAGCGAAAGCGAGUCUGAAUAGGGCGCUAUAGUUAGUUUGAGUAGACGCGAAACCGUGUGAUCUACCCAUGGGCAGGGUGAAGCUGUAGUAACAUACAGUGGAGGCCCGAACCGAUAUACGUUGAAAAGUGUUCGGAUGACCUGUGGGUAGGGGUGAAAGGCCAAUCAAACUCGGAAAUAGCUCGUACUCCCCGAAAUGCAUUUAGGUGCAGCGUUGUGUUAGUUUUAUAGAGGUAGAGCUACUGAUUGGAUGCGGGGGCUUCACCGCCUACCAAUUCCUGACAAACUCCGAAUGCUAUAAAAUGUUAAUCAGCAGUGAGGGCAUGGGUGCUAAGGUCCAUGUCCGAGAGGGAAAGAACCCAGA